CCGGCCACGGCGGGCGUGGCCGCUGGCUCGUGGUGACUUGGCCUUGGGCUCGGAAGACACGGGUCUUGAGAGAAUAGAUGAGCUAAAGCACAGGCGAGGGCAGAAGAUGCAGGUCUCAAAACAGUAACGGGCACAGAGAGUGUUUGCUGCGAUUAUUCUGGUCCUCCGAGGCAUAACUCCGGCGUCUCCUAAGCCCUAAGAAGACUUCCGAGUUGCCCUGCCACCCCAGGCGGAGGCUUUCUCCUCAUUUUCUCUGCUUCUCAGCUCCAGAAGACCAAGUGAAGACACUGAAAGACAAGGUAUCGCCUGGGAGAAAAUACCCAACAGAACUCUCUGGAACAUCUACACGUGCAUCUAGAAUGUAUAAAGAAGGUCCCCCAAAUGCAACGGCUAAAAACAAUUCAUUAGAACGCAGGCAACAGCUGUGCAACAGAUAUUUUGCCGAAGAGGGUACCCGGGUGGCAAAUAAGUGUGCAAGAUCGUUCAUCAUAAUUACAGCCAGGAGAGAAAUGCAAAGGAGAGAAAUGCAAAGACCGCAAGGAGACAUGACCGCACCUAUCAGAAUGGCUAAAGCAAAAACGGUAAGGAUAGCGAGGGUGCAGGGGGAAAAAAUCCCAAACUGGACCACUCGUGCGUUGUUGGUGGGAAUGUGGCCCGGCCACUCUGGAAAAGACUACGGCGGUUUCUUUAACAGUCGUGCUCACGGGCAUCUAUCCCGGAGGAAUGAGAGCUUACACAUUCACACAAAAACCAGGACAUGGAUCCCCAUGGUGGCUUUAUUCGGGAGAGCCCCAAACUGCAAAUAACCCAAAUGUCCUUCCACCUGAAUGGCUAUAUAACUGUAGCACAUCCACCCCAUGGCAUGGGACUCGGCGAUCAAAAAGAAUAAACACUGAUGCAUGUAGCAAGUAGGAUGGGUCUCAAGAGAAGGAUGCGGAGUGAAAAGGCCAGCCUCAAAGGUUACAUACUGUACAAUUCCACUUAAAUAACAUCCUUGCGGUGACAAAACUCUACAGAUGGAGACGAGAUAAGUAGUCUCCAGGGGUUAGGGAGCGAGAAGGGGGGGAGGUGGCCAUGGCUCUCAAAGGGUAGCAUGAAGGAUCCCGGCGAGGAACCUUCUGUAGCUUGGCGGUGGCCGUCACAGGAGUCCACGUGUGGUAACUUUGCGUGGAACUAAAUACACACGCGCAAAGGAGUGCAUGUGAAACUGUGAGAUCCAAAGAUGGCUGGUGGAUUGUAUCGAUGCCAAUUUCUUGGUUGUGAUGCACCGUCAGGUGCAAGAGGGAACCGUUGGGGGAAGCUGGGAGGAGGGAUAUGGGAUCUCUCGGUGUUCCUUCUUCACUUGCAUGCAAAGCUGCACGGCUGUCUCAAUAAAAAAGCCCCCCGGGGGUUAUGCAUCUACUGGGAUGACCUGAAGAGCGCCCAGCAAUACCAGCUGCUGGCGAGGAUACGGAGCAAUCAGACCUCUCGUGCGUUGCUGGUGUCAAUAUACAAACGGUACGUCCGUGGGCCCCUGGAUGGCUCACUCCGUUAAACGUCCGACUCUUGGUUUUAGCU
This is a long non-coding RNA of Hyaena hyaena (striped hyena), 1557 nucleotides long. RefSeq lists it as uncharacterized. The transcript is spliced from 3 exons. The record is from RefSeq and is a predicted model, not a curated record. Lineage: Eukaryota; Metazoa; Chordata; Mammalia; Carnivora; Hyaenidae.